Molecule: ribosomal RNA, 433 nt
Filed under: uncultured bacterium
Lineage: Bacteria
Description: partial 16S ribosomal RNA
Rfam family: Bacterial small subunit ribosomal RNA
Source: RNAcentral
AACGAACGCUGGCGGCAUGCCUAACACAUGCAAGUCGAACGAGACCUUCGGGUCUAGUGGCGCACGGGUGCGUAACGCGUGGGAACCUGCCCUUAGGUUCGGAAUAACUCCCCGAAAGGGGUGCUAAUACCGGAUAAUGUCUUCGGACCAAAGGUUUAUCGCCUUUGGAUGGGCCCGCGUUGGAUUAGCUAGUUGGUGGGGUAAAAGCCUACCAAGGCGACGAUCCAUAGCUGGUCUGAGAGGAUGAUCAGCCACACUGGGACUGAGACACGGCCCAGACUCCUACGGGAGGCAGCAGUGGGGAAUAUUGGACAAUGGGCGAAAGCCUGAUCCAGCAAUGCCGCGUGAGUGAUGAAGGCCUUAGGGUUGUAAAGCUCUUUUACCCGGGAUGAUAAUGACAGUACCGGGAGAAUAAGCUCCGGCUAACUCCGUG